This 404-nucleotide ribosomal RNA is filed under the name Clostridioides difficile. RNAcentral describes it as "bacterial LSU rRNA". It matches the Rfam family "Bacterial large subunit ribosomal RNA", at positions 534 to 938 of the family's 2925-position model. Lineage: Bacteria; Bacillati; Bacillota; Clostridia; Peptostreptococcales; Peptostreptococcaceae. The record is from RNAcentral.
GGGAGUGAAAUAGAACCUGAAACCCUGCACUUACAAGCUGUGGAAGCACAUUUCUUGUGUGACCGCGUACUUUUUGUAGAACGGGCCAACGAGUUACGUUAAGUAGCAAGGUUAAGCACUUAAGGUGCGGAGCCGUAGCGAAAGCGAGUUUUAACUGAGCGUUCAGUUACUUGACGUAGACCCGAAACCGGGCGACCUACCCAUGAGCAGGAUGAAGCGAAAGUAAAAUUGCGUGGAGGUCCGAACCCACGAGCGUUGAAAAGCUCGGGGAUGACUUGUGGGUAGCGGUGAAAUUCCAAUCGAGCCCGGAGAUAGCUGGUUCUCCCCGAAAUAGCUUUAGGGCUAGCCUCAAGGUGAGAGAUACGGAGGUAGAGCACUGAAUGUCCUAGGGGGUAUUGCACCUA